This 226-nucleotide ribosomal RNA is filed under the name uncultured Candidatus Saccharibacteria bacterium. RNAcentral's name for it is "partial 16S ribosomal RNA". It matches the Rfam family "Bacterial small subunit ribosomal RNA", at positions 28 to 265 of the family's 1533-position model. Lineage: Bacteria; Candidatus Saccharimonadota. The record is from RNAcentral.
GAUGAAUGCUGGCGGCGUGCCUAACACAUGCAAGUCGAGCGGCAGCGCGAGUAGUUUACUACUUGGCGGCGAGCGGCGGACGGCUGAGUAACACGUAGGAACGUGCCCCAAAGUGAGGAAUAACUGCCCGAAAGGGUAGCUAAUGCCGCAUAUGAUCUUCGGAUUAAAGCUUUUAGCGCUUUGGGAGCGGCCUGCGUCGGAUUAGGUAGUUGGUGAGGUAAUGGCU